Molecule: long non-coding RNA, 253 nt
Filed under: Lathyrus oleraceus (garden pea)
Lineage: Eukaryota; Viridiplantae; Streptophyta; Magnoliopsida; Fabales; Fabaceae
Description: Pisum sativum (pea) long non-coding RNA (PSAT_LNC006803)
Source: RNAcentral
UUAAAUCACGAAAAAUAUUAAUAAUAACACAAAACAUAAUUUUAAUUCAAAAUAUGAAAGAGAAUUUUAUUUAUAAAAAAAUUGGUGAAACUCUCAUAUUUUUUGGAUCAAUAUUAAAACUAAUAUGAAUUAAUGAAAAUAAAAAAAAAAUGAAAUUCAAAUAAUCAGAAAAAACGUGGACCACUUGAUCUCCCUCAUUAAUUGAGGUGGCAGAUCAAGUGGAUGAAAAUGCGCGCCCCAUGGUACACUUGAG